Molecule: unclassified non-coding RNA, 400 nt
Filed under: soil metagenome
Description: partial contains 5.8S ribosomal RNA, internal transcribed spacer 2, and large subunit ribosomal RNA
Rfam family: 5.8S ribosomal RNA (bases 1-122)
Source: RNAcentral
GAUGAAGAACGUAGCGAAAUGCGAUACUUGGUGUGAAUUGCAGAAUCCCGUGAACCAUCGAGUCUUUGAACGCAAGUUGCGCCUCAAGCCGUUAGGUUGAGGGCACGUCUGCCUGGGCGUCACAUAUCGUUGCCUGAUGCCAGUUUCCUCGUGAUGGGUGACUGUGCAGGGCGAAUGAUGGCUUCCCGUGAGCAUUGUUGCCUCAUGGUUGGUUGAAAAUUGAGUCCUUGGUAGGGAGCGCCGUGAUAGAUGGUGGUUGAGUGACGAACGAGACCCAAUCAUGUGAGACCCCUACCGAAUUUGGCCUUCAUGACCCACAUGCGUCUUUGGAACGCUCAUGACGAGACCUCAGGUCAGGCGGGGCUACCCGCUGAGUUUAAGCAUAUCAAUAAGCGGAGGA